AAAGUACUCCCUCCGUCCCAAAAUUCUUGUCUUAGAUUUGUCUAGAUACGAAUGUAUCAAGUCACAUUUUUGUAUUAGAUGCAUCUGUAUCUAGACAAAUCUAAGACAAGAAAUUUGGGACAGAGGGAGUAGUUG
Molecule: non-coding RNA, 135 nt
Organism: Triticum aestivum (bread wheat)
Lineage: Eukaryota; Viridiplantae; Streptophyta; Magnoliopsida; Poales; Poaceae
Source: Rfam